AACCUGCCUGGUAGCGGGGGAUAACUAUUGGAAACGAUAGCUAAUACCGCAUAACAGUAGAUAUUGCAUGAUAUCUGCUUGAAAGGGGCAAUUGCUCCACUACCAGAUGGACCUGCGUUGUAUUAGCUAGUUGGUGAGGUAACGGCUCACCAAGGCGACGAUACAUAGCCGACCUGAGAGGGUGAUCGGCCACACUGGGACUGAGACACGGUCCAG
Molecule: ribosomal RNA, 216 nt
Filed under: uncultured Streptococcaceae bacterium
Lineage: Bacteria; Bacillati; Bacillota; Bacilli; Lactobacillales; Streptococcaceae
Description: partial 16S ribosomal RNA
Rfam family: Bacterial small subunit ribosomal RNA
Source: RNAcentral